RNAcentral lists this ribosomal RNA (497 nucleotides) under uncultured bacterium. Its description in RNAcentral is "partial 16S ribosomal RNA". It matches the Rfam family "Bacterial small subunit ribosomal RNA", at positions 28 to 507 of the family's 1533-position model. The record is from RNAcentral.
GAUGAACGCUGGCGGCGUGCCUAAUACAUGCAAGUCGAGCGAACAGACGAGGAGCUUGCUCCUCUGACGUUAGCGGCGGACGGGUGAGUAACACGUGGAUAACCUACCUAUAAGACUGGGAUAACUUCGGGAAACCGGAGCUAAUACCGGAUAAUAUAUUGAACCGCAUGGUUCAAUAGUGAAAGACGGUUUUGCUGUCACUUAUAGAUGGAUCCGCGCCGCAUUAGCUAGUUGGUAAGGUAACGGCUUACCAAGGCAACGAUGCGUAGCCGACCUGAGAGGGUGGUCGGCCACACUGGAACUGAGACACGGUCCAGACUCCUACGGGAGGCCGCAGUAGGCAAUCUUCCGCAAUGGGCGAAAGCCUGACGGAGCAACGCCGCGUGAGUGAUGAAGGUCUUCGGUUCGUAAAACUCUGUUAUUAGGGAAGAACAAAUGUGUAAGUAACUAUGCACGUCUUGACGGUACCUAAUCAGAAAGCCACGGCUAACUACGUG